GGCCCCUUGGCGGAAUGGCAGACGCAGUGGAUUUAAAAUCCGCGGCCCUUACGGGCGUCCCGGUUCGAGCCCGGGAGGGGCUA
Molecule: transfer RNA, 83 nt
Filed under: Polyangiaceae bacterium
Lineage: Bacteria; Pseudomonadati; Myxococcota; Polyangiales; Polyangiaceae
Description: tRNA-Leu
Rfam family: tRNA
About the family: Transfer RNA (tRNA) molecules are approximately 80 nucleotides in length. Their secondary structure includes four short double-helical elements and three loops (D, anti-codon, and T loops).
Source: RNAcentral